RNAcentral lists this unclassified non-coding RNA (352 nucleotides) under soil metagenome. RNAcentral's name for it is "partial contains 5.8S ribosomal RNA, internal transcribed spacer 2, and large subunit ribosomal RNA". The stretch from base 1 to 120 matches the Rfam family "5.8S ribosomal RNA", at positions 35 to 154 of the family's 154-position model. The record is from RNAcentral.
GAUGAAGAACGUAGCGAAAUGCGAUAAGUAAUGUGAAUUGCAGAAUUCAGUGAAUCAUCGAAUCUUUGAACGCACAUUGCGCCCGCCAGAAUUCUGGCGGGCAUGCCUGUUCGAGCGUCAUUACAACCCUCAGGCCCCCGGGCCUGGCGUUGGGGAUCGGCGGAGCCCCCCGUGGGCACACGCCGUCCCCCAAAUACAGUGGCGGUCCCGCCGCAGCUUCCAUCGCGUAGUAGCUAACACCUCGCGACUGGAGAGCGGCGCGGCCACGCCGUAAAACACCCAACUCUUCUGAAGUUGACCUCGAAUCAGGUAGGAAUACCCGCUGAACUUAAGCAUAUCAAUAAGCGGAGGA